AGCAGCCGCCGCGGUAAUACGUAGGUGGCAAGCGUUGUCCGGAAUUAUUGGGCGUAAAGGGCUCGCAGGCGGUUUCUUAGGUCUGAUGUGAAAGCCCCCGGCUCAACCGGGGAGGGUCAUUGGAAACUGGGAAACUUGAGUGCAGAAGAGGAGAGUGGAAUUCCACGUGUAGCGGUGAAAUGCGUUGAGAUUGGAAAGAACACCAACGGUGAAAGCACUCUGCUGGGCCGACACUGACACUGAGAGACGAAAGCUAGGGGAGCAAAUGGGAUUAGAUACCCCAGUAGUCCCUGUCUCUUAUAA
This 303-nucleotide ribosomal RNA is filed under the name uncultured bacterium. RNAcentral's name for it is "partial 16S ribosomal RNA". It matches the Rfam family "Bacterial small subunit ribosomal RNA", at positions 507 to 809 of the family's 1533-position model. The record is from RNAcentral.